GAAGUGCGAUAAGCAAUGCGAAUUGCAGAACCGUGAGUCAUCAGAUUUUUGAACGCAACUGGCGCUGGCUGGAUCUCCAGCCAGCAUGCUUGUUUCAGUGUCUUGUUUUCUCCUCACCCAAACCUUAAUGCGAGAGAUACCCUUCUCUUGCUAAGCAUGAAAGCACUCUGCUUUUGCAAGCGGCUAUUGAUUCGUCAACUGUCGCACUCAAUGCAGACGUCACAUUUUCCAAUGUGAACUCUUGGGAGCAAAGGCUGUCAGCUAACGCUGUCAGUGCUUAGUCACUUAAACUCUUUUGCAUCUGAAAUCAAGCAGGAUCACCCGCUGAACUUAAGC
This 336-nucleotide unclassified non-coding RNA is filed under the name plant metagenome. RNAcentral describes it as "partial contains 5.8S ribosomal RNA, internal transcribed spacer 2, and large subunit ribosomal RNA". The stretch from base 1 to 103 matches the Rfam family "5.8S ribosomal RNA", at positions 50 to 154 of the family's 154-position model. The record is from RNAcentral.